UUACGAAGAACGCCGUGAUGCGGCAUGAU
This 29-nucleotide small RNA is filed under the name Bombyx mori (domestic silkworm). RNAcentral describes it as "ovarian small RNA-9344". The record is from RNAcentral. Lineage: Eukaryota; Metazoa; Arthropoda; Insecta; Lepidoptera; Bombycidae.